Molecule: long non-coding RNA, 2513 nt
Organism: Mus musculus (house mouse)
Lineage: Eukaryota; Metazoa; Chordata; Mammalia; Rodentia; Muridae
Product: predicted gene, 33029
Exons: 3
Source: RefSeq, a predicted model, not a curated record
GGAAGAGAGUAGGGAAGUAGAGGCCGGCCAUGGCCAUGUGGAGAGAUGGGGGAAGGGAAGGCAGAGAGAGGAAGAGCAAGGGAGCAAAAGUAAGAGCAAGAGAAUAAGAGAGCGAGGAGGGGGCAAGCAGCCCCUUUUAUAGUGGGCUGGGACAUUCUGGCUGUUGCCAGGUAACUAUGGGGGUGGAGUCCAGGGAGAAUAAAUGCCAGGAGCUUGGGGCAUUGCCUACAUGACUGAUGGCCACACACCUCUCUGCAGGGGACAGGCGGAGCUGUGUGAGGUUGUAGCUUCGGAGCCAAGGGCCCAGGAGGCGUGGCCAGAAACCUGCUGUCCCUUAGGGUCACCAGGGAUCAAGACCUGUGCUUGACUGGGGACCAGGUUGUCUGUACAUAGCUCAGAUAUCAGUUCAAUAUAUGAAACAUGAAUGAGCAGCUACUCCUUUGUGAUCAGUAGAUGGGUAGACAUGUGAGUCUCAGAGAAAGCUGGGGUGUGACCAAGGCUCUGAUACCUGCAGUGGUGAGGGUAGCCUGCCUGCCUGCCUGCCUGCCUGCCUGCCUGCCUGCCUGCCUGCCUGCUGCACCUCUUCUCUUGGACCUUGGGGUCUCAGGGAGUCAGGACAAAGAGUGAUGUCUAUCCUGAGGAGGACAGGUGGCAAAAACAUGCUUCUCACAUAUGUGCAAAGAUGGGCGGACUGCAUAGAGCUACACAUUUGGAACACCCUGAUUUUUCUACCUGAAGCAUGAGCGCUCUCAAGACAGUAGCAUCGACAGAUGCUGGCGAUGGAAGCAUGCAUCGCAGGUACUUAUCAGUAUGCAAGACAAGACCUGACCUUGGAGCAUGGCAGCGUCAUUUGCCCAAGAAAGGGACACCGGUGACCAAGCCAGCAUUCCCUGGAAUGUUCCACAGAGCCUGGGAGCAAAGGGAGCUCGUGGAGUUUGUAUCUUCUGCUGUAUCCUGCAGGGCUCACUGAUGUGGGUAAAGAACCCUUGGAUGAAGCCACCCAAUAUCCUGAUGUCUGAAUCCAAGGAAAGAACUGUUGGAAAGCCAAGCAAGAGCCAGCAUUGGAUGGCCGCCUCCAGACCAACCCAUGGGCCACAAAAUUCUAUUUUUCUCCCAUGCUCUUAGACAACAUUUAUUCCUUAAAAGUGAAGAAUGGGUUUCACAGAAUGGCACAAGAGACAAAGAGGAUCUUGUCAGAGAUGCUAUUCAAUAAUAAGCUAAUAAAAUGUUUGAAUGCCGGAGUCAUCGAAGGCAGGUAAUGACACAUCUCCUGCUUCUCUUUAUUUUAUUUUUAUAGGCCAGAUAAAUGAAAUUAAACCAUCUCUCCUGUUCAACAGUUUGAGAUGCACAGUUAAUAACAGCUGUCUCUGCUCCCACCACGCAAGGCUGGGCUGCAGGAUGUGGGGGUCAUCUCCACGAGGAGGUUGUGAGUGGCCGUGGGAGUCAUUAUGGAGAGAAGUGGGAAUUGCCUGUGUUUGGUCUAACAGCGAUGUUGCUCACCUAGCAAACAAUGAAUCAGUCUUCCCUCUGGAACCCAGGACCCUGGACACCCCCCAGGCAGCUGGACUUAAGUGAGCUGUGGAGUCCUAGGAACUUCUGUUCCCAGUUCAAGUACAGCUUGGGCAGAUUCACUUGUGGCCCAGCCAAGACUUCAAGUUCACAAAUUGUUUAAAACCAUCUUCACUUCUCAUUGGUAAACAGCAUGUCUACCAAUCUAUAUUGAGAAAAUUAGUGUUUUCCUGCCGUGUUUUCUGGUACAUUACCUAAACUCAAUGUGUAACCUACACACGGUGUCUCCCUGCUUGCUAGCGCUGGAUCACAAUGUUUCAUACCAACGAUGGGCGUCUCAGCAAUGAUUUGACAGAUAAUAAAAUAAAAAGAAGAAGGAAAAGAAGAAGAGCAAGCUUGUAGUGCGAUUUUUCUAGUCUGUUCUUCCCCAACUCCGUCAUUGGACUGGAAGGAAUGAAGACAUACAAUUUAACCAGUAUGUUUACACACGUCUAACUGAUACUUUUCUUUGGGAAAUUAAUUGAAUUACAUCUAUAAAAUACUUACAUUGUAAGCUUAUCAAGCUGAGAUGAGUUCAAACAAUUAGAAGAAGAUGUUUACAUUACCAAUAAAAGAUUAGUACCUCGAGGAGCAACAGUGAAAGCUGUCUCAUACUCAGAACCUUCUCAUUAGCUUCAUGACACUUUAGAGGGAGUGUGGAGAAAGCCCCGCAGUGAAGUCUUGACUGAAUAUGUGCCGUUGAUGUCGGCACCACCACGUACCUCCAGACCAGAUGUGGAUGUUGAAAUGUACUAAAAGAGUGCACCAUAGCCUUCUCUACUGGGUGUUCAUUACAGAGACCCGUUCCUGUUGCGGUCAGCUAAAUUGGGUCCCUUUGAUCCAGAUCUGUACCCUAAACAUUGCCUUCUUCUUUAUCUGUAUGUAAUAAUCUAUCCUCCUCGUCCUGCUACAUGCAAUAACAUCGUCUCUCUGUUCAACCCGGUGUAAUAAACAUGCUUAAUAUC